CUCUCUUCAAGGGCACUCCAAGAUUUAAUAAUGUUGUGGUCCAUGUUAAUGCCACUCAGAUGGACAUCCUCUCUUGCCAAAUUUCGACUCUCGCCUGUGCAUUUAUAGAAUUCCACUUGGGAGGUUGGACAAACUCCUCGCAAGUUGAGAAACUGCUCCGAAAGCUGGCACUUGGGAGAUGUUCCCUCCCCUCCAUCCUUACUGUCAGGACGCGAACACACGCUCCGUAUUUCAUACUGGACUAUUACUUCACACCUCCCCCCUCAGUCUACUUGCCUCUUCUCUUGCCUCCGAAUUACUACCAGAGUCCUCUAACACCCUGAUCAAAACCACCUUUUCCACUGCUCAGACUCAUUACAAUAAACAGACCCUUCAGGACAGAGGCUAA
Long non-coding RNA from Neofelis nebulosa (Clouded leopard), 388 nucleotides. RefSeq lists it as uncharacterized. Lineage: Eukaryota; Metazoa; Chordata; Mammalia; Carnivora; Felidae. The transcript is spliced from 2 exons. The record is from RefSeq and is a predicted model, not a curated record.